UACUCCUACCGGGAGGCAGCAGUGGGGAAUUUUGGACAAUGGGCGCAAGCCUGAUCCAGCCAUGCCGCGUGCGGGAAGAAGGCCUUCGGGUUGUAAACCGCUUUUGUCAGGGAAGAAACGGUCUGGGUUAAUACCCUGGGCUAAUGACGGUACCUGAAGAAUAAGCACCGGCUAACUACGUGCCAGCAGCCGCGGUAAUACGUAGGGUGCAAGCGUUAAUCGGAAUUACUGGGCGUAAAGCGUGCGCAGGCGGUUGUGCAAGACAGAUGUGAAAUCCCCGGGCUCAACCUGGGAACUGCAUUUGUGACUGCACAGCUAGAGUACGGUAGAGGGGGAUGGAAUUCCGCGUGUAGCAGUGAAAUGCGUAGAUAUGCGGAGGAACACCGAUGGCGAAGGCAAUCCCCUGGACCUGUACUGACGCUCAUGCACGAAAGCGUGGGGAGCAAACAGGAUUAGAUACCCUGGUAGUCCACGCCCUAAACGAUGUCAACUGGUUGUUGGGAAGGUUCCUUCUCAGUAACGUAGCUAACGCGUGAAGUUGACCGCCUGGGAGACUGCCUAA
RNAcentral lists this ribosomal RNA (562 nucleotides) under Burkholderiales bacterium VC93. RNAcentral describes it as "bacterial SSU rRNA". It matches the Rfam family "Bacterial small subunit ribosomal RNA", at positions 334 to 890 of the family's 1533-position model. Lineage: Bacteria; Pseudomonadati; Pseudomonadota; Betaproteobacteria; Burkholderiales. The record is from RNAcentral.